This 498-nucleotide ribosomal RNA is filed under the name uncultured bacterium. RNAcentral's name for it is "partial 16S ribosomal RNA". It matches the Rfam family "Bacterial small subunit ribosomal RNA", at positions 28 to 508 of the family's 1533-position model. The record is from RNAcentral.
GAUGAACGCUGGCGGCGUGCCUAAUACAUGCAAGUCGAGCGAACAGACGAGGAGCUUGCUCCUCUGACGUUAGCGGCGGACGGGUGAGUAACACGUGGAUAACCUACCUAUAAGACUGGGAUAACUUCGGGAAACCGGAGCUAAUACCGGAUAAUAUAUUGAACCGCAUGGUUCAAUAGUGAAAGACGGUUUUGCUGUCACUUAUAGAUGGAUCCGUGCCGCAUUAGCUAGUUGGUAAGGUAACGGCUUACCAAGGCAACGAUGCGUAGCCGACCUGAGAGGGUGAUCGGCCACACUGGAACUGAGACACGGUCCAGACUCCUACGGGAGGCAGCAGUAGGGAAUCUUCCGCAAUGGGCGAAAGCCUGACGGAGCAACGCCGCGUGAGUGAUGAAGGUCUUCGGAUCGUAAAACUCUGUUAUUAGGGAAGAACAAAUGUGUAAGUAACUAUGCACGUCUUGACGGUACCUAAUCAGAAAGCCACGGCUAACUACGUGC